CUUCUCUCUGGUGGGUUCGUGCUGUCGCCAGAGUCCCCACAUGGAAUGUGGAGUGAGGCCCUGCCUAAUGGAGGCUCUCAGUGUGUGUCUCUGCCUGGACUGGAGCCGGGCGGCUUGGGCACCGUCUCCCUGGCCAGCUUUGCAGCUUGCUUCAAAUAAUCAAUCAAAUGCAUCUGAGAGCACAGGCCUACUUUGGGAGAGCCGCUCUUUGGAUUGUGGCUGGAGCUGUCAUCACGACUCACUACACAUUUCUCAACUCCAAGGCUUCAUAACUGGGUCCAUCUCUGCUGCUCUGUGGUGAGCAAAAGACUGGAAAAAAAAAAAGGUAACUGAAGAAAUAGGGCCUUAGCUAUAUGAAGUACAUUGGCGGUGAGGGGAAGAACCCAGCGAAAGGAUGGCAAAAUUUUGCCCGUAAUAAUGAAGCCAGAUAUUUCAAGAUUCAAGUCAAAGAUUUAAUAAAUGGAGAAACGAAUG
RNAcentral lists this long non-coding RNA (474 nucleotides) under Phascolarctos cinereus (koala). RNAcentral's name for it is "lncRNA (ENSPCIG00000027532.2)". Lineage: Eukaryota; Metazoa; Chordata; Mammalia; Diprotodontia; Phascolarctidae. The record is from RNAcentral.